CUCCUGAGUGUUUCCAGGCCGAGUGUGAAGCAACAGAAAGGAGAAUUGAGUUCAGCAUUCAAUGUGACAGUGUGUACAUGCUAUAAAGUGUGUUGAUGAACAAAUACGAGUCCACUAUCGUUGUCUAUGUUAAUUAGAUUCCAGUAGUUUAUUUGUUAAUGUGGUGACUGAGAACAGAAAGACAAGAGAGACUAGAGUUGAUAACAAAAUAUCUUUAUUGAUUCCAACCAAUGUAACAAGCUUUCUUGUCUAGUAUCACAUAUUUGCAUAGUUAACGCUGCGCUGUUUCAAGUGCAGUCUGGAAUAAACGAUCCCACAGAUAAUUUAAAUCCCUGUGUCUAGUGUUGUCACUAAUAUUCACACCGGGCCACAGAGAAUUUUGGUACCAGGAGUGGGGUUCCAUUGCUAGUGUAGAUAGGAUAGCACUAAAACAUAGACAACGGUAGUGGGAGAAACUGGUCGUGUGCUGACGCCUGGGAGUUCGACGGUGUGGAGUGUGACGUGCCUGGAGGGUCUGCGGAGAAGCAAGGGACCAGCUUUGGGAACGCAGACGGGUGCCUAAUCGUCGACAACGAAUUGGCCUUUCAGGUUGGCUGGCAUUGACUGUGACUGUUUCUGACUCAGAGCCAUU
Molecule: non-coding RNA, 631 nt
Organism: Pimephales promelas (fathead minnow)
Lineage: Eukaryota; Metazoa; Chordata; Actinopteri; Cypriniformes; Leuciscidae
Source: RefSeq, a predicted model, not a curated record